This 484-nucleotide ribosomal RNA is filed under the name uncultured bacterium. Its description in RNAcentral is "bacterial SSU rRNA". It matches the Rfam family "Bacterial small subunit ribosomal RNA", at positions 30 to 507 of the family's 1533-position model. The record is from RNAcentral.
AUUGAACGCUGGCGGCAUGCCUUACACAUGCAAGUCGAACGGCAGCACGGGAGCAAUCCUGGUGGCGAGUGGCGAACGGGUGAGUAAUAUAUCGGAACGUGCCCAGUCGUGGGGGAUAACGCAGCGAAAGCUGUGCUAAUACCGCAUACGAUCUACGGAUGAAAGCGGGGGAUCGCAAGACCUCGCGCGAUUGGAGCGGCCGAUAUCAGAUUAGCUAGUUGGUGGGGUAAAAGCCCACCAAGGCGACGAUCUGUAGCUGGUCUGAGAGGACGACCAGCCACACUGGAACUGAGACACGGUCCAGACUCCUACGGGAGGCAGCAGUGGGGAAUUUUGGACAAUGGGCGAAAGCCUGAUCCAGCAAUGCCGCGUGCAGGACGAAGGCCUUCGGGUUGUAAACUGCUUUUGUACGGAACGAAACGGUCUCUUCUAAUAAAGGGGGCUAAUGACGGUACCGUAAGAAUAAGCACCGGCUAACUACGUG